GGGCUGAGAUUUGUGGGGUUGGGAUCUGUGGGGUCUGGAUCUGUGGGGCAAGGAAAUCUAUGGGGCUGGGAUCUGUGGGGCAGGGAAAUCUAUGGGGCAGGGAAAUCUAUGGGGCUGGGAUCUGUGGGGCUGAGAUUUGUGGGGUUGGGAUCUGGGGGGUCCGGAUCUGUGGGGCAGAAAUCUAUGGGGCAGGGAAAUCUAUGGGGCUGGGAUCUAUGGGGCAGGGAAAUCCAUGGGGUCUGGAUCUAUGGGUCCAAAUCUAUGGGGCAGGGAAAUCUAUGGGGCUGGGAUCUAUGGGGCAGGGAAAUCUAUGGGGCAGGGAAAUCUAUGGGGCUGGGAUCUAUGGGGCAGGGAUCGAUGAAUCCAAAUCUAUGGGGCAGGGAAAUCUAUGGGGCUGAGACCUGCAGGUCUGGGAUCUGUGGGUCCGGAUCUGUGGGGCUGGAAUCUAUGGGGUAGGGAUUGAUGAAUCCAAAUCUAUGGGGCUGGGAUCUAUGGGGGUGAAAUCUAUGGGGCAGGGAUCUCUGGGGCAGGGAAAUCUAUGGGGCUGGGAAAUCUAUGGGGCAGGGAUCUAUGGGUCCAAAUCUAUGGGGCAGGGAAAUCUAUGGGUCCAAAUCUAUGGGUCCAAAUCUAUGGGGCAGGGAAAUCUAUGGGGCUGGGAUCUAUGGGGCAGGGAAAUCUAUGGGGCAGGGAAAUCCAUGGGUCCAAAUCUAUGGGUCCAAAUCUAUGGGGCAGGGAAAUCUAUGGGUCCAAAUCUAUGGGGCAGGGAAUUCUAUGGGGCAGGGAAUUCUAUGGGGCAGGGAAAUCUAUGGGGCUGAGACCUGCAGGUCUGGGAUCUGUGGGUCCGGAUCUGUGGGGCUGGAAUCUAUGGGGUGAAAAUUGUGCAACUCCGUUGCCGUUCCGGGAAUCGGUGGGGCCGCCCCACAACCCCCCGCCCCACAACUCCGCCCCACAACUCCGCCCCACAACAAAGCCGCCCUACAGGUCGCUGCCCCGAGGGGCCCCGCUCGCCUCAUUAAGGACGAAGGUCAUUAAGGGCGGAGUUAAUUAGCGGAUAAACGCGCAGAUCCACGGAGACCCCAUAGCGACCCCAAACCCCAUAGAAACCCCAUAGGGAUCCUAUAGGGACCCCAAAUCCCAUAGAGACCCCAAAUCCCGUAGAGACCCCAUAGAGACCCCAUAGGGACCCCAUAGGGACCCCAAACCCCAUAGAGACCCCAUAGGGACCCCAUAGAGACCCCAAAUCCCAUAGGGACCCCAUAGGGACCCCAUAGGGACCCCAAAUCCCAUAGAGACCCCAUAGGGCCCCCAAACCCCAUAGACCCCCCAUAGGGACCCCAUAGAGACCCCAGAUCCCAUAGGGACCCCAUAGAGACCCCAUAGGGACCCCAAACCCCAUAGAGAUCCCAUAGGGACCCCAUAGGGAUCCCAUAAAGACCCCCAGACCCCAUUGAGACCCCAUAGAGACCCAAAACCCCAUAGAGAUCCCAUAGAGACCCACAGAGACCCCAUAGAGACCCCAAAUCCCAUGGAGACCCCAUAGAGACCCCAUAGAGACCAAUAGAGACCCCAAACCCCAUAGACCCCAU
Long non-coding RNA from Phasianus colchicus (ring-necked pheasant), 1586 nucleotides. Lineage: Eukaryota; Metazoa; Chordata; Aves; Galliformes; Phasianidae. The record is from Ensembl.